This 494-nucleotide ribosomal RNA is filed under the name uncultured bacterium. RNAcentral describes it as "partial 16S ribosomal RNA". It matches the Rfam family "Bacterial small subunit ribosomal RNA", at positions 28 to 507 of the family's 1533-position model. The record is from RNAcentral.
GACGAACGCUGGCGGCGUGCUUAACACAUGCAAGUCGAACGGUGGAGCGCCUUCCUUUUUGGUGGGUGUGGAUGAGUGGCGAACGGGUGAGUAACACGUGAGUAACCUGCCCCCUUCUUCUGGAUAACCGCAUGAAAGUGUGGCUAAUACGGGAUAUUCUGUGUCUGUCGCAUGAUGGGUCUGGGAAAGAUAUUGUUUCGGUGGGGGAUGGGCUCGCGGCCUAUCAGCUUGUUGGUGGGGUGAUGGCCUACCAAGGCGGUGACGGGUAGCCGGCCUGGGGGGGGGGACGGGACAAAUGGGGAUGAGACACGGCCAAGACUCCGACGGGGGGGAGGAGGGGGGAAUAUUGGACAAGGGGAGCAAGCCUGAUGCAGCGACGCCGCGGGAGGGAUGGAGGCCUUCGGGUUGUGAACCUCUUUCGCCAGUGAAGCAGGCCUGCCUCGUUUGUGGGUGGGUUGACGGUAGCUGGAUAAGAAGCGCCGGCUAACUACGUG